This 355-nucleotide transfer RNA is filed under the name uncultured Microcystis sp. RNAcentral describes it as "partial 16S-23S ribosomal RNA intergenic spacer". The stretch from base 133 to 206 matches the Rfam family "tRNA". Lineage: Bacteria; Bacillati; Cyanobacteriota; Cyanophyceae; Chroococcales; Microcystaceae. The record is from RNAcentral.
AAGGGAGACCUAAUUCGGGUAUAAGACGAAAAAAGAGUAGUCGAAACCAAGAAUCAAUCCCAAAAGGUCGGAACGAGGUAUGUGGCUUUCAAACUAGGUUCUGGGUUCACACAAGACCUGAAUCAGGAACAAGGGCUAUUAGCUCAGGUGGUUAGAGCGCACCCCUGAUAAGGGUGAGGUCCCUGGUUCGAGUCCAGGAUGGCCCACCUGCACAGGUGGCAAAAACAAAGAAGCGAGGAAUCAGCACCUUAUCUUAUCUAUAUAUAAGAGAGAAUGCUGGCUCUGAGUAAAGAGUCCAGAGGUACCUUGAAAACUGCAUAGAGCUAGGUGAAAAAGCCAAAAAAGAAGACCGCAA